This 553-nucleotide ribosomal RNA is filed under the name uncultured Gammaproteobacteria bacterium. RNAcentral describes it as "bacterial SSU rRNA". It matches the Rfam family "Bacterial small subunit ribosomal RNA", at positions 76 to 623 of the family's 1533-position model. The record is from RNAcentral. Lineage: Bacteria; Pseudomonadati; Pseudomonadota; Gammaproteobacteria.
GAGCUUGCUCCAUGGGUGGCGAGUGGCGGACGGGUGAGGAAUGCAUCGGAAUCUACCCAGUCGUGGGGGAUAACGUAGGGAAACUUACGCUAAUACCGCAUACGACCGAGAGGUGAAAGCGGGGGACCUUCGGGCCUCGCGCGGCUGGAUGAGCCGAUGCCGGAUUAGCUUGUUGGCGGGGUAAAGGCCCACCAAGGCGACGAUCCGUAGCUGGUCUGAGGGGAUGAUCAGCCACACUGGAACUGAGACACGGUCCAGACUCCUACGGGAGGCAGCAGUGGGGAAUAUUGGACAAUGGGCGCAAGCCUGAUCCAGCAAUGCCGCGUGUGUGAAGAAGGCCUUCGGGUUGUAAAGCACUUUUGUACGGGAAGAAAGACGCUGGGCUAAUACCCUGGCGGGAUGACGGUACCGUAAGAAUAAGCACCGGCUAACUUCGUGCCAGCAGCCGCGGUAAUACGAAGGGUGCAAGCGUUACUCGGAAUUACUGGGNCGUAAGCGUGCGUAGGCGGUUUGUUAAGUCCGUUGUGAAACCCUGGGCUCAACCUGGGAACUG